UAUAUAGUGGCCAAAUUGGUCACUGGCGGCAAUUGGAAGAGAUCGAUGGUGAUUCCGGCAAGCGGAGGCACCAGAGAUGCGGGGCCCUUCUCUCUGCUUUUCGUUAGAUUUCAAAUAAUAAAAAACAGAGAGAGGAGAAGGGAACGACGGAACUCCAUUGACUGAUGCUUUCCCCUUAAUUGCCGGCAUGAUGGGACCACGGUCCAUCGGUGAUCAGGAGAAGCUGGUGGUGAGGGGGCCAGCAAUCCCUGUCUGGAUCCAAAGAUCCAAGCAAACAAGAAAAAAAGGAAUCUGAGGUGUGGC
Molecule: long non-coding RNA, 303 nt
Filed under: Elaeis guineensis (African oil palm)
Lineage: Eukaryota; Viridiplantae; Streptophyta; Magnoliopsida; Arecales; Arecaceae
Description: long non-coding RNA (EGUI_LNC008878)
Source: RNAcentral